Molecule: non-coding RNA, 1470 nt
Organism: Podarcis lilfordi (Lilford's wall lizard)
Lineage: Eukaryota; Metazoa; Chordata; Lepidosauria; Squamata; Lacertidae
Source: the annotation of a GenBank genome assembly
GGUGGUAGGUGCUGGAAAACCAGGGAGAGGGAACAUCAAAGGGAGAAGUUGUUGGAGAAUGAAACAAAACUGAAAUUCCCCUAAGUGCAGUUGUAAAAAUCCCCACUAAGUAAUCCAUGGGAACUUUGUUGAUAAGGGUUUAUUAAGCACCUGGGUUUUCUUUCGUCUCUUGUCCUGCAGGCAACCGCAUGUCCCAACUAUUUUGAUGAUAUAGGACUGCAUUGCUAAACCACACACCAAAAAGGAACCUCCCAAAGGUGCUUAGAAAUUUAUUUUAAUAGAAUCUUAUGCCUGACAUACUUUGAGUGUUGCUGCGUGUUCUGUAAGGAAUUUCAGGCUGAAUUGAUUCCUUUUCUCUUUUCGUAUUCUUUAGCUCUCAGCGAAGAAUGGGUGUAGUGCAGCGGCGAAUAGACUGACAUACGAAAAAAGUACCUCCUAAAGCCUAAUUUGCCUUAUCUCUGCCAUGAGUUCACUAUGUGGUCUGUGGCCUUACAACUAGAUGGUGCACAGAAACUGCUUUGGAACAACUGAAAAUACUAUACAAAUGUUAAAUGUGAUAAUAAUAAUCAGCAAGUAGUUUUUGAAGAUGAUCCACCUGGGUUCAAAACAUAUGUUUUGUGUUGGAUAUUGGUAGCUUUUUCUGAUUUAAAAAAAACCCAUCCUGAUCACAUCUGGGAUUUUGUGUGCAUAUGUACACAUGAAUUCUUAUAAGAGCCAUAACCGCCAACCCAAUUUCCAGAACUAAGAAUCAGCACUCUGCCUGUAAGAGUCUGGGAAUAUUUGAGGUCAGUAAAUGAAUACCAAAAAGCAGAAAAAAGAACACCACUCAUGUUCCAGACAGAAAGCAUUUGCUGAUAUGUUGCAAUUCUGAGCUGGAACAUGCAAAGAGCACUCAUAUAUAAUAUAGUUACUGGAAUGUGUUGAUUACGACUAUUUGCUGUUCAGAAAUCAUUUUGUAAACUCACUGAAAAGGUCACAGCUUAUCUUUCUUAAAAAAAAAUAAAAGGCAGGGAUGGGGGGUUGAAGCACAGUGUUGUUGUUUCUUAGUCCCUAGCCUGCAAUUAUUCCUUCUGCAGCAGCCUUAGCCAACGUGGUGUCUUCCAUAUGUUUUAGACUACAGCUCUAAAGCACCUGGAACACAUCAGGGAAUGAUGAGAAUUAUGCUCUGAAACAUCUGGUGGGCACCAGGUUGACAAAGGCUGUUCUGUACCAGAAUGGCAGCCUCUGACUAUGACACUUCAGUCAAAUGACAUAUUUUUGUUAGAUUCCUCUGCCGUGUGCACAGGUUCUAAGUUGGCAGGCAAGUAAAGCAUGGUUCCUCGAAGGCACAAAGUAUAAAAACCAAUGAGACACACCAUGUUGUUGUAUGAGCUAUUAAUGCUAUAAAAGACACAUAUUUUUUUGUGGGCCAUACUGUUAAAUACUUAUAUAAAAUCUAAUUUGAUGUCACAUACCUAAUAUUUAUUUAUU